This 173-nucleotide unclassified non-coding RNA is filed under the name uncultured Stachybotryaceae. RNAcentral describes it as "sequence contains ITS2". Lineage: Eukaryota; Fungi; Ascomycota; Sordariomycetes; Hypocreales; Stachybotryaceae. The record is from RNAcentral.
CAACCCUCAGGCCCCGCCUGGCGUUGGGGAUCGGCGCGGCGCCCGCUCUCGCGGCGGCGCGCUGCCGGCCCCGAAAUUUAGUGGCGGUCUCGCUGUAGUCCUCCUCUGCGUAGUAGCUAACACCUCGCACUGGAACUCGGCGCGGCCACGCCGUAAAACACCCCACUUCUGAA